This 780-nucleotide ribosomal RNA is filed under the name Halococcus sp. Its description in RNAcentral is "bacterial SSU rRNA". It matches the Rfam family "Archaeal small subunit ribosomal RNA", at positions 102 to 881 of the family's 1478-position model. Lineage: Archaea; Methanobacteriati; Methanobacteriota; Halobacteria; Halobacteriales; Halococcaceae. The record is from RNAcentral.
GGUCAAACUACCCUCUGGACUGGGAUACCCUCGGGAAACUGAGGUCAAUCCCGGAUACUGCUUCCGUGUUGGAACACAGGAAGCUGGAAACGGUCCGCCGCCGGAGGACGUGACUGCGGCUGAUUAGGUAGACGGUGGGGUAACGGCCCACCGUGCCGAUAAUCAGUACGGGUUGUGAGAGCAAGAGCCCGGAGACGGAAUCUGAGACAAGAUUCCGGGCCCUACGGGGCGCAGCAGCCGCGAAACCUUUACACUGCACGCCAGUGCGAUAAGGGGAUCCCGAGUGCGAGGGCAUACAGUCCUCGCUUUUCGCGACCGUAAGGUGGUCGCAGAAUAAGGGCUGGGCAAGACCGGUGCCAGCCGCCGCGGUAAUACCGGCAGCCCGAGUGAUAGCCAAUUUUAUUGGGCCUAAAGCGUCCGUAGCUGGCCGAACAGGUCCGUCGGGAAAUCCACCCGCUUAACGGGUGGGCGUCCGGCGGAAACCAGUCGGCUUGGGGCCGAGAGACCAAAGGGGUACGUCCGGGGUAGGAGUGAAAUCCUGUAAUCCUGGACGGACCACCGGUUGCGAAAGCGCCUUUGGAGAACGGACCCGACAGUGAGGGACGAAAGCUAGGGUCUCGAACCGGAUUAGAUACCCGGGUAGUCCUAGCCGUAAACGAUGCUCGCUAGGUGUGACGCAGGCUACGAGCCUGCGUUGCGCCGUAGGGAAGCCGAGAAGCGAGCCGCCUGGGAAGUACGUCCGCAAGGAUGAAACUUAAAGGAAUUGGCGGGGGAGCACUA